This 690-nucleotide ribosomal RNA is filed under the name uncultured bacterium. RNAcentral's name for it is "bacterial SSU rRNA". It matches the Rfam family "Bacterial small subunit ribosomal RNA", at positions 165 to 852 of the family's 1533-position model. The record is from RNAcentral.
AAACCCGCGUACAUGCCACCGGGGCAUCCCGGAGGCAGGAAAGGCUUCGGCCGGACAGGGAUGGGCAUGCGGCGCAUUAGGCAGUAGGCGGGGUAACGGCCCACCUAACCGACGAUGCGUAGGGGUUCUGAGAGGAAGGUCCCCCACACUGGUACUGAGACACGGACCAGACUCCUACGGGAGGCAGCAGUGAGGAAUAUUGGUCAAUGGUCGGGAGACUGAACCAGCCAAGCCGCGUGAGGGAUGAAGGUACAGAGUAUCGUAAACCUCUUUUGUCAGGGAACAAAGGCGGGGACGUGUCCCCGGAUGAGUGUACCUGAAGAAAAAGCAUCGGCUAACUCCGUGCCAGCAGCCGCGGUAAUACGGAGGAUGCGAGCGUUAUCCGGAUUUAUUGGGUUUAAAGGGUGCGCAGGCGGUCUGUUAAGUCAGCGGUCAAAGCCCGGGGCUCAACCCCGGCCCGCCGUUGAAACUGGCAGUCUCGAGUUGGAGAGAAGUAUGCGGAAUGCGCGGUGUAGCGGUGAAAUGCAUAGAUAUCGCGCAGAACUCCGAUUGCGAAGGCAGCAUGCCGGCUCCACACUGACGCUGAGGCACGAAAGCGUGGGUAUCGAACAGGAUUAGAUACCCUGGUAGUCCACGCAGUAAACGAUGAAUGCUGGCUGUCCGGGGGGACUGACCCCUGGGUGGCGAAGC